Molecule: ribosomal RNA, 250 nt
Filed under: uncultured prokaryote
Description: partial 16S ribosomal RNA
Rfam family: Bacterial small subunit ribosomal RNA
Source: RNAcentral
UACGUAGGUAGCAAGCGUUGUCCGGAUUUACUGGGUGUAAAGGGCGUGUAGGCGGAGAUGCAAGUCAGAAGUGAAAUCCAUGGGCUCAACCCAUGAACUGCUUUUGAAACUGCGUCCCUUGAGUAUCGGAGAGGCAGGCGGAAUUCCUAGUGUAGCGGUGAAAUGCGUAGAUAUUAGGAGGAACACCAGUGGCGAAGGCGGCCUGCUGGACGACAACUGACGCUGAGGCGCGAAAGCGUGGGGAGCAAAC